Long non-coding RNA from Mytilus californianus (California mussel), 892 nucleotides. RefSeq lists it as uncharacterized. NCBI's taxonomy places the organism in Eukaryota, Metazoa, Mollusca, Bivalvia, Mytilida, Mytilidae. The record is from RefSeq and is a predicted model, not a curated record. The transcript is spliced from 3 exons.
GUUACUAUUUCUGUAAAGUUUCAUCCAGUUUGCAGCAUUUUGAUUUUUUUGAAAUUUUGGACAUUUUUGCUGCAUCCAUGGUUACAGUGGAUAAUUCCAAAAUUCUAAAAGCAGACAUCUCAUUGCCACAUGUCAUGUUAUAUAUCAGUACAGUUUCAUUGACAUUGGUGAAAUACUCUUUAAGAAAAUGCUGAUUUUAUGCAUUUUCCCAUAGGGUCAAUGUAAAACUUGCCCCCAGUUUCCAUGACAACGGCGGCCAUUUUGGACUAUCCAAAUAUUGUCUUGACAUCUUGGAAUACUGGGUAACAUUUUCAUUAAGUUUCAUCCAGUUGGGUCUUUUAACGAAAGAGUUAGAAUUUUUGAUAUUUUAGCUGUUUCCAUGGUUACGGCAACCAUUUUGAAAAUUCCAAAGUCAAACUGCAAAUCAGCACAUGCCAGUUAACAUUCCUGUGGAGUUUCUUCCAAUUUGGAACACUUUGAUUUUUUUCGCAUUUUUGCUGUUUCCAUGGAAACGGCGGCCAUUUUUUACCAUUCCAUAGCAAGGUGCACAACUUUACAUGGGGGUCCUCAUUAUAGUAGAGUUCCAUCAACAUUGGUCCAUUGGAUUCCAAGAACUCGCGCGGACAAAAUGUAUGGAAGAAAAAUAAGAAAAAAAAAGAAACGUAGAAUAACAGUAUGUCACCCCAACUCCGUUGAGGGUGCCAUAAAAAGAAACGUAGAAUAACAGUAUGUCACCCCAACUCCGUUGAGGGUGCCAUAAUAAUAAGAAAAAAAGAAACGAACAAUAACAAUAUGUCACCCCAACUCCGUUGAGGGUGCCAUAAUAAGAAAAAAAAGAAACGUAGAAUAACAAUAUGUCACCCCAACUCCGUUGAGGGUGCCAUAAUAAAAA